UCCACACAACACCAGCACGGAGCUGGGAGGCCAUGUGGUGUAGGUCACUGCCUGCCCAGGAGACGUCCCUCUCAGAAGUGCUCAGCAGCCUGGUACCCGGCUCAGAGUACAGGAUGCUCAGCCUUGAAAUCAGCCCAGGCUUCCCCGCACAGUCCACCGGACUCAUCCUCCAGGGCACAUGGCAAGGGUGGGCCGGGGCCACGGUCCUGACUGCAUCUCAAAGCCAGCAUAAGGCCAUGUGGCUGGAAACCACUGUCCCUACGGCUCAGUGUCUCUCCAGGGCAAACACCCCCAGCUGGAGCGGGGGGACAGAGAGGGCCGGGGCCUCAAUGGGACCUGGGACAGCACCACGGUUUGGAGAGCUGGCUUGCCGGGCUGCGGGAGCCUGUGUGUGAAAAGGGCGCAUUGGAAGAUCCCAUGUGUUCUGCAUCUGCGUCUCUGUGUGCCCCUGUGUGCAUCUCCACGUCUCCGGGUGUAUUCACUCUCGUGUGAGUGCCUGAGUGUGUCCUUGUGUGUGGAACCCCACACGGGCCUGUGGCCUGGGGAGGUGUGUGUGUCCGUGUGUCACUGUGUGCGUCUCCAUGUUUCUGUGUGUGUUCCCAUGCGAGGGCAUGUCCCUGUGUGUCAGGCCUGUGUGUGUCCUGGUGCAAGUAACCCUGUGUGGGUGUCAUCCCCGUGUGUGCUGCAGGGCGGGGCAGUGGGAGAGCAGGCCCCCCACUGGCAGGGCAACACUUCCUUUGUGGAGCCCCCCCCAUCCCAGGUGGGUAACAUCAGCUGGAAGAAAUGCCAACUGCCUUCUUGAACAAUUGAAAUCAUCAUCCCCCCAGGAGCCCCCAGAAAGCAAGGGCAGCCUGCACCUUCACUAUCCCAAGCCCAUCCUUCUGAGCCCACCCUUCUCUGUGACGAUGAUGUUGGCUAUACUCCUCCAUUUCUUGGAGCCUCUGUUUCCUUAAACAUGAUGGGGUGAGAAAGACUGGUCUGGUGGCAUGUUCUGAGGAUUAAAUGAAACUGUGACCUGCAGGGCCUCACGCGGGGCCGUCACCCUUUGCCAUGCCCUCUGCAGGUGGGAGCGUGAGUCACAGCUUCCCGUGAAUCACAGCACUCACUCCUCACGAGGACUCUACAAGGCAGACACCAUCACCUCCAUUUCUACAGACAAGGAAACUGAGGCCCUGUGAGGUCACAUGUGUGCCCUCUGUCUUCUGAGGAGGGGGUCGCGUCAUGCUGGUAGGCAUGAGGAGGGGUACCUCCUUCCUAUGGGGACAUCCCUCUGGCCAGCCACCUCCUCCAGCUGUCGCCAGUGCAGCAUCACCCGCCUCCCAGGGUACAGCCUAUCCAGGGCCUUCCUGGGAAAGCCAGCCUGGAAGAAGCACACUGUUAGGGCUGAAAAUUUCUGCCCGCCCUAACUGAUGUCCUAACUCCUGUGGGAUGGUAUCUGGAGGUGGGGACUUUGAGAGGUAAGGAGGAGCAGAUGAGGUCAUGAGGGUGGAACCCAUGUAAUGGGAUUAGAAGAGGAAGAAAGAGAGGUCCUUUUCUCUCUCCAUGUCCACUCCCAGGCAGGCCAUGUGAGGGCACAAUGGGAGGGCGGCCGUGCUUCUCGCUGUCCUCAUCAGAAUCUGACCGUGCUGGCACCCUGGCCCUGGAUCUCCAGGCUCCAGAACUGUGAGAGGUAAAGGUCUGUGUGUGGGCCUCCCAGAAGUCUGUACUUAACAAAGCAGCUCAAACCGACUACAACAUGCCACAGGAACCAGAGACCACGGUUCCAUGGAGAUGCUGGAACACUGCCCCAAGUACAAGAACUGCAGUUUGAUCAUCAACAAAUCAGCAGUGCCUUGACUGGUGGGACCAGGAAAAGUUGCCAAAGAACCCCACGCAGCAGCUAAGGAAGUGGAGGCAGAACAGGGCCCAGAACCCUCCCAUGCAGCAGGCUCCGGCUCCACCACUUCCUGGAAAAGGAACAGCUCAGAGGUUCUCUGGUGACCUGCCUGAGGACACCUGGACCCCAGAGGCACACGAGCCCCACUGCAAUGGGAGCAGCCCCCUGGCCAACCUCAGCCGCCUGUACUUCUCCGUGAUGACAGUGAGCGUGGCCCAUCCCAGGCAUGGACGCUUAGGUGUGUUCUGAGACAUGUGAGGUAUGUUUCCUCAUGAGACUCCCACGACCAGCGUAAGGCACAUAUUGCUACUUUCAUUUUGCAGACGGGGAAACUGAGGCUCUGAGAACAAAGCUGCGGGGGCUUAUUCUUUGCAAUUGUAACUAUUUACAACACCCUAACAACUGAAAGAAAGAACUGACUGAUAAUUCCUGAUACCACUUUCCCAGCAACUCUGGACUCAAUCCCCGUCCAGCCACUUAGAACCUGUGCUCUGCACAGCUUACUUCAAGACUAAACUUGUCAUUGGCAAAAACCGAAAAUAAAUCGUCUUUACAGCCGGGUGCAGUAGCUCACGCCUGUAAUCCCAGCACUUUGGGAGGUCAAGGCAGGCUGAUCACUUGAGGUCAGGAGUUCAAGACCAGCCCGAAUAAUAUAGAAAAACCCUCUCUCUAUUAAAAACACAAAAAUUAGCUGGGUGUGGUGGCAUACGCCUGUAAUCCCAGCUAGAGAAGCUGAGGCAGGAGAGUCACUUGAACCUGGAGGUGGAGGUUGCAGUGAACUGAGAUCCUGCCACUGCACUCCAGCCUGGGCCACAAGAGCAAAAGUCCAAUUCAAAAAAAAAAAAAAGUCCUCCUUACAAGGCCACUGGGGACAACAUGAUGACAUUUAAGUCAGUUUAAGCAGCACCUUGUUGCUACUGUUGUUGCAAACUGGUUCUGACCGUGUCCUUCCCUGCCCUCCCUGAGCUGUUCUUUCCCUGUCCCACCCUCUUUGAAGAGUAGAACAGGGAAGGCACCAAGGGGUGACCCAAGUGGGCACUGUGUCUGCUUUUCCACACGCCACCUCUAAGGGCAGCAGCACCCCCACGAGGGCACACAGAGGCUCCAGCAGAACUCACUUUCCAGAGAGUUCUUGGUCGUAGGAUCCUUGGCAUCUUUGUUGCUUCUGGCUCUCAGGUUCUGCAGGGAGAAAAGCGCAUGUUCACAGAGAUGAUAGAAGCAGCUUCGAUGCGGCAGAAAGUUCCACCUUUGGCAGCAAUCUCGGCUUUCCCUCACUGCAAUGAACCCAGGCGCAUUCUGAGCUGAUAAUGAAAUCACAGGGUGUGCAGGGACCCACGGGCAAGCUGAGCACGCAGGAUGCCCUGGAGGCCACGGUCCACCUGGGACAGGCCUUCUCAGCCAAGGACUGUUGACAUUUUGGGCUGGAGAUUCUCUGAGCAGCUGUCCUGUGCACCGUAGGGUGCUAAGCGGCUGCCCUGGCCUCUACCUAUAGGCACAGGAGCGCGCCUGCCUUCCCACUGUUGUGACAACCAAAAGCUUCUCCAGGCAUUGCCAAGUGUCUGUCCCCUGUGAACGAAAUCACGCCUGGCUGAGAACCUCUUUCACAGAGAAUCUGGCAAAUGGAGGCCAACAGGAGCCCGCUCCUAAACACACAUCACUGUUUUCUUGGGGCAAUUAGAUGGCAUGCAGGGGGCUGGCAGUUCGGAAGAGCAGUCGCCUUUGGAGACGGCCAGGGCAGGCCCACCACUGCAGACGGACACGGGAUUCUCCCUCUACCCACCCUCUCUGGAUUUGCAAGUGUACUUGCUAAAAAAAUGAGGUGCUAAUGAGAUUUCCAGGGCAAGAGCAGGUCUUGUAAGUGAAGAGCCUAGCAUGUUUUGAUACAAGUGCAUUGAACGCAUCACUGGAGAAAUUCGGUAUAAAAGAUCCCUGUGUGCCUCAGAUCCGCUGGGAAGGAGCUGAGAUUAAUUCCUGGUACUAAGCUUCUGAACAAAGGCAUAAGCCGCAGAGACGGAAUAGAUUCUGAGGUUACUCUGCCAACCUCUUGUGCUGUAGAAAACAUCUCAAGACCAAAAAGAAAGUCUUUUCCAGCUCGCUGGGGCCAAAGGCUGCCAUGCGCUUUGGUACCUUUCCUGAGAGUUUAACAGCCCUCGCAGUGAUUGUUCCUCUGUACAUCUGACUCGGCAGUUACCAAAGACUGCAAAAACCAGGUGCUGGGCUCACAUGAGCCUGGGAGGCGGCCCACGUGCCUUGGAAAGUGCGAUGCUUGGGAGUUAUCCGCAAGUUCUGGGAACACCUGCCUCAAGAAAAUGUAUGAGUUGGCCGGGCACGGUGGCUCACGCCUAUAAUCCUAGCACUCUGGAAGGCCGAGGUGGGUGGAUCACCUGAGGUCAGGAGUUCAAGACCAGCCUAGCCAUCAUGGUGAAACCCCAUCUUAAAAAAAAAAAAGAAAAGAAAACAUGUGAGCUUGGCUUAACCCUGCAUCUCCCAAACCGGCCUGACUCCCAAAGCCCUUUUCAUAUAAUUCCUAUUACCUACUGUCUGGAGAGCUGGCGUUCCAUGAAACCAGAUCUAACUGGAUGCUGCCCAUCUCUCAGGACUGUCCCAGGAGAAGAUGGACACUAUUCCACUCCUUCCUAUACUAGAAGGUGAUCGUCAAAGUCCCAUGCCUGAGCACUGACCCCCUCCCACUUCCAUAGGGCUUGCUACUUUCUCUUCCUUGAGUUUGACUCUGCUCUCUCUGGGUGACUCCAAUUUCUCUGGAUCUUUUCUGAAACACAGACAACCAAAGUGCAUGUCACUGUGACGAUGCAAGUGCCACAAACCUUCACAGUGGGCUGGCUUGUGGCUGACCCUGAGCCCCAUCCCGCUUCCUGCAUCCCAGCCACAGCUCAGAAUCCACUGGUACAUAGCUGGUGAGACCACGUGAUCCCCAGGUGGCGUCCCAUGGUGUCUCCUCCCUCCUCUGCAGAAACCUGUCCAGGUGGACUUGAACUUGCCCGUCUAACUAUAACUUGCUCUUAAAAGCUCAGGUCCCUGAUUUGUCAAGGUCACACUUGAAAUUCGGUGUCACCAUUCCAGCUGCUGGGGAGGACAGUUGCUCAUUUAAAGAAAAAGGAAGAGAGAACAGAUUGAAUGGUCCAGAGGGAGUCUGGCAGCAGGGAGGGAAGCUGGCGCCCCGGAUGCAUACAGAGCCUGUUACCAGCAGCACCCGGUGGAGCGGGGCGCCCCACGGGCUCUGGAGGAACAGGGUGGCAGGUACUGCUACUACUGGAAACAUCAGAGUGGGGACCAUGAUGCGCCGUCCUGUGAUGAACAGUACGAUGGCAAAAGCCCAGGGGUGACAGCUGAGGGUGUGUCUCAGCAAGGGUGACUGCAUUCAUUCCCUACUUCUAGUGCCCAUGUCUCUUUCUAGCCCUGUGGUUCUCCAAUUGUGCUCUAUGCUAGAACUGCAGGGUUAGAAAGAGACAUGGGCACUAAAAGUAGGGCAUGAAUGCAGAACCCCUACUUUCUGCUCAUAACCCUUGCUGGGUGGGGGAAAGCCAAGUCAGAAGGCAAAGCUACAGCGAGUUGGUGGGAUCAUCAAGAGGCAAAGGCCCCUGAAGAGGAAAAUGUCGCAGAGUGACCACCAGGCAGACACAGGGUGGGGAAGGGCAGGAAGAACCCCAGUCUGGAGAGUGCAGACCCAGGGAUGUGGCUGGGUUCUGGUCCUGGCUUGGCCACCAGCCUCCUGAAUAGCCCAUUCAUGGUCUCUGUUUCUGAAUGACUCUUUUGAGGCCCAGGGUGCUAACACUGCAUGGUUUGAGGUUUCAGCUUCCUGGGGCUAAACGCAGGCAGGGAGUCAGUAGCCUCUCAAACGUGGGGCCUGAGGCAGGCAGUGCAGCUCCAACCUGCUGCUUUGCUCCUCACAUGGGUCUAGAGAGCACGGGUGACAUGAGCCCUUGCCCCGCGGCAAUAGCCCCUCAAUGCUUCCCGCUCUCAUGGUCUCUGAUGGGCUGGAAAAGGAAGACUGGCCCGUCCAGCUGCCCCUCCAGUGCCAGGUACAAAGUCAGCCUCAGGACUCUUGUGGUGAGAGCUGUUAACGGGCAGAAUUAUAGAUACUCCUCACUGCACACGGUGCAAAGAGUGUCCCCAGAACCCGGCCAACCCCCAGAAUCAGGCCCUAGCCUCUGGGGAGGCAGGACAUCCUGUCAGCCGCUCCACCUGUCUGGGCACAACAGCAUCCCCAGCAUGGGGCAGCAAACCCGGCAGAAUCUGUCAACAGCUGGGGUUCAUGACCAGAUCUUGAUCUGGUGUCCUCUGUUCUCCUGGGGAGGUGGAGGGUACAGGUGGGAGUCAGGGCACGCCUGGCUGAAUGGCAUCAAGGCAUUACCUCAGAGAUUUCUGCAAACUGAACAUUGGCCUGACAGCACUUCUCGGCCAUUUCCAUGGCAACUCCGUAGUUGUCCACGAAGGCCCGGUACACACCCAGCUGGCUGGCCUGCAGGGAAGAAGAGAGAGUCGACAGGUGCUGCAGCUCCCCCGCCUUUCCGAGGAGCGGGCUCCCUCCAACAGCUCAUCAGGAACUCCAGGGGCCUCGGAUCUUCCGUGCUGUUCCCUCCCACCUGCUCCCCUCCCCACGCACCCAGCACACUUCCGGCUCCCAAAAUGACAUGCUGAGAAGUGACUCACGACGCCAGGCAGGUAACAGUUCCCUUCCAGAGCUACUUAUUCCUCCCACCCCACUCGCUGAAAUGGUGCCACGAGUGGCAGCUAGAGUUCGAGGCUGUCAGUGAAUCUGGACAAGUGUCUGCAUGCAGCAUCUUCUCAUUCUGGCUGCAGGAGUGUAUCCUGGACACGGAGAUCACCCCCCCAUCCCACCCACAGUGUCCACUCCUGUCCAGUCCCUUCAGACACAUAAGACACACAGAGUCCAGCUGCCUCUGCAGAAGAGAGCCUCCUGCUACACAGACACGAGCCCUCCUGGGCCUGGUGAGGGUGCCCCAGUGUCAUGCUGCACACCUGGCAGGGGAGAGACUGACUGGCUGUAAGGUGAGAGGUGUUUUGUUUGUUCUCUAUUAAACCAAAGGCUAUAACAGAUCUCCUUCCUGCACCUCCAGCUCAGAAACACACUUGAUUCGGCAACAACUUCCCCUAUGUGUGAGUGCAGCAGACACAGCCAUCUCUGGGCCUCACAACAGCUUUAGGGGCAGCGAGGGAAAACCAGCAAACCCAGGCCUGGGGAGUGGAAGGGCAGACCCAGGAGAUUCACUGGUCAGGGCUGGAGACUCCCCCUGCAGCUGAUUGCAAACUAGAAGCCCGAGGCAUUCACGGCUCCUGGCGUUUGUUUUGCAUCAAACCUAAUUUUAUUUCCACAUGCAUUUGCAUUUAUAUUGAAUUUUAUGUUUCUGCAGAUAACAAUUCCGGAUGCUGGAUAAACCAGGCACCCUUGGUAUUAUCUGAUCUUCUGGCCCUGCUUUCUAUGGGGGCUGUGCGAAGGGUCUUAGAGCGUACAAGGAAAGGGUUGCAGGCGGAAGACACCCACCAGCCCCUGCCACCCUGAGGAGACCUUGUAUCCUCCAAUUCUAGGUUCUUCCUUGUCAGUGCAGUGAUGAGGCCCAGAGCUCUUCCUUUCCCUCCUUCCUCCUCUGCAAGUCACCGAGUAUCUCCCCACCAAACUAAGGGCCGGCUUUAGGCCUUGUCACCACAGUGGUGAAUAAUUCAGACGAGUCACUGCCCUCUGAAGCUGGUGUUCUAACAGGAGAGCACCUGAUAAACACAUGCGUGAACAGACCCGGGUCAUGUGAUGGCAGAUGGUUACAACCAGGAUGGGGACCAAGAGCAAUGGGGCUGCUUUGGAAAAUGUGGUCAGGGCCAGGGACAGCCUCUCAGAAGAGGUGACAGCUGGGCAGGGUCUCAGGGGUCUUGGGAGGAGGACUCCUUUCAGGACUUCUCCUCCCUCCUGCUCCAGGAGCUCACAUCUUCCAGGUGGCUUGUGAGAAGUUCUAAGCAAUUCCUUUCCACAUUUUUCACUAAUCAAAAACACACCUCCGGAUCUGAUGCACUAAGCACACGGCCUCGAUGCUGUGGUGCUAUCGUGCAGAACAUGAAGCUCAGGAAACUGGCAAACCUGAGCGGGUCUGUGUCCUUCAAGAAAUGUCAAGGUCAGCUGGGAAGAGCAGCUUACACUGUAUAAUCCUAGCACUUUGGGGAAUGCUGAGGCAGGCAGAUCACUUGAGGUCAGGAGUGUGAGACCAGCCUGGUCAACAUAGUGAAAUCUCGUCUCUACUGAAAAUACAAAAAUUAGCCAGGUGUGGAGGCGUGCACCUGUAAUCCCAGCUAUGUGGGAGGCUGAGGCAGGAGAAUUGCUUGAAUCCAGGAGGCAGAGGCUGCAGUGAGCCGAGAUCAUGCCACUGCACUCCAGCCUGGGUGAUAGAGUGAGACUCCACCUCCAAAAAAAACAAAGUCAAGGUCACAGAAGACAAGCAAAGUCUAAGGAACUGGUACAGAUGGAAGGAGACUAAAGAGAGGUGACAACCAAGUUCAUAACAUGAUCUUAAACCGGGACCCGAAUCAGAGAAUGAAAAGAGCUGUGAAGAACGCGACUGUUACUUUGGAGGAAAUGUGUAACUAUAUAUUAAAUAAUAGUAGCUCAUCAGUGUGAAAAUUCCCGAAUUUAACAAAUUGUACUGUGGGUUACAGAAGAGAAUGUCCUUGUUCACAGCAAAUAAACAAUGAAGUAUUCAGAGGGGAAAAAAAAUCCUGUGCUUCUGCGUAUGUGUGCAUGUGUGUUUGUGUGUGCACAAAAAGACAUAAAGCAAAUGUGGCAAAAAGUUACAUCAGUGUAUCUGGGUGAAGGCCAUACUUUGUCCCGUUCUUGGAACUCUCCUGUAAGCCUGAAAUAAUUAGAAAAAUAAACAUUCUGAGUUGAUAAAACUGCAGCCAGAAACAAAAUCCGGAGUGGGGAAGUCAGCCCGUGCAGCCCCACGGAGGAGGGGGCAGAAGCCGCAUCUGGGCCUGGCUUUCUGAACCACUGGACGUGGAUCAUGAGUUCCUGGGCUUGGAGGCGGCACUGGAGCUGGGCAGGGCACUGUGAGCUCCUUUGGUCCUAAGACUUGUCCAACCAGGAAGCCUGACGGAGCAGUGCUGGGCCAACCCUACUGAGCUGGUCUGCAGGGACAAGGGCAGGCACCCGGCUUAUCUGUUCUUGCAGAGGCCCCAACACCCAGCCCAGGUUGGGCACAUGUGAGUACUGAGCUUGUAGUUAUGGGGAGCAACUUCCCACUGCAGCCCCAGCCUCUCCCCUGAGUCUUCCAGCUGCGUCAUCUGCCACAUGAAGGCUACGGAGCUCAAGGCCUCAGGGAAGCCGGCAGAAACUUUCCAAAGUUAAAUUCCAGUGUUCAUCAGAUAUUAACAUUUUUUAAAAGUCUCUGAACAAUUUCGAAUAUUAUUCAGGAAGAGCUCUGGAUGUUUUUCUUCCCCCAAUACCACAAUUCUUCCUUUCUCAGGAGGGUAGAAGGCCAAGUUAUGUCCACUACUUUUAAAACUGCUGACACACACAGGGAGAAAUGGGGGGCUUCAAAGACGGAGCGGGCAGCAUGCAUCAAAAUACAGCCUCCUGCUCUCUGGCCGUAGGGGAAAGAGCCCCAAGCAGCAAGAACUGGAACAAAGUAAGUGCCUUGUGUGUUUCUCAAGUCUUAGCUCUG
Molecule: non-coding RNA, 9561 nt
Organism: Callithrix jacchus (white-tufted-ear marmoset)
Lineage: Eukaryota; Metazoa; Chordata; Mammalia; Primates; Cebidae
Source: RefSeq, a predicted model, not a curated record